CUUAGGUAUCUUUAUUUGGGACUUCCUUUUCCUUUUGAGACUAUUUGAAGCAAUAUGUAGCACUGUAAAUCACAAAAACACCUUCUCCAGAAUUAUGUGAAGACUAAAAUCAGUGAUGUGCUGCAAGUCUACAGCUGUAGAUGAUUGCAGAUGAUUGCACCCAUGAGGCAGGUGGAAUGAUUACUAGCUGAUGUAACAAAAACCUGAAUGUAAAAGACUCUGUACUAUGUGGAAAGUGCAGGUAAGGAGGAAGUCUGUACAGGAUCCAACAACAGGACUGAUUCUUGCAUAUUUGCAUCUAGGAGGCACCCUGUUCAACAGCACCCACAUAGACAGCUCUGCUAGUGUCCUUAGUGUGGCCCUGAUAGCAGUUGCUGCCAUGAUAAACAUUGACUAAAGGUAGAUGGACACUCAGAUUAACAGUGAGAUGUAAGGAAAGCAGGAACUUCCUGUAACCUCCCAUCAGGUUGAAUGGUGGGAAACCUGAUGAAGCUGAAGUCAGAUCACCUAGAGAGAAAUAUGUACAUUAAAGGACAGAGGCAUUAGCUGUAGAUAUACGCUGACGUGGCCCAUGUUGCAAAAAUGAUCUUCACAAGCAUCUUGUAUAAAAGUAAACUAAAAGGUAGUGCAAGUAAUCAGGAGGACAGAAUUAAAACUCCUGAAGAUCUUGCAAAUUGAAGAAAUAGUCUGGAAAAACAAAAGUAAGUAUGCUAUUCAACAGAGACAAAUGCAAGGGUUUACAUUUAAAAAUAAAUAUAUAAAUAAACAAAUAAAGGAUGGGAAACAGUUAUGGCAGAUCUUUCAGUAAGACACAAGGGCUGUAAUAAAUUAGAAAAACAUGAAAAAGGAAAACAUCUCUCUGGAAUGUAGAAAUUGUAGCAGAGCUUAAAACCAGAUAAAAUAAUGGCUCUGCUGGGGUAUUCUGACAGGACUGCAUUUCAACUAGCUGGUGGAUCAGCCAGAGAAGGUCUAGAGAAGGAGAGUAGGAACAAUUUAAGGUAUAAAAUCCAAGUCUUCUAGCAAAAGAUUGAAACAUUUAGAACCAUAUGGAAGGCAUAAUAAAAGAUGCAGACACAUUUUUUUUUAAGGUUUUGUCUAUGCCAGUAGUGAAUAAGGUGAGAAAUUAUGAUCUUAAAUUCCAUAAAGAAGAAAGAGUCAGGUUAUACUUUAUGAAAAUCUUCCUAAGAGGGCAGACAAUGAAGCAACACAAUAAGUUGCUUGGAAAACACAUGAAGUCUGCUUCUCAUCAGAAGGAGAUGGCUUAAAUUAUUUUGACAAGAUAACUUCACAUUUAUCAGUAGUCUAUAACUAUGUUCUUCCUUAAACAAUACGUAUAUACUUGCAUGGAAGCAUACAUAAAACAGAUAAAUAGAACACCUCAAAAUUAAAAAUGGAAAACUUGGAAAAUAAAUAUAUUUAAUAUAUUUAAAUAAGUACCAAGCCUUACACUAUCAGAUUUCCAACCUUCAUCUUUUAAGUCAAAGCCACUUAUAAAAAUGGGACCAGGGCAUGGCCAAAAUAAAGAUGUUUUCCAAAUACGAAGCUACCUAAUUGGCAUAUUCACAAUAUUAAAAACUCUGAUAACUUUUAUCUGAUUAGGACACAUUGGUCUUAACCCAUUAAUAAAAUAGUAAAAAUCCCUCCUUUUUAUUUUCAAGAGAAGAAAAAUAACAGAAAUUAUCAAAUGCAAAUAUUCACAGCUUGUACUUAUAUGCCACAAAUUAAGAGUUACUAAUUAUACAGUAGCUGCCAAACUGCUACACUCUUGUGAUUUUUGUAAUGAUAGAUUUGAGGAUCCAACAGGACAGGCUGCAUCAUAAUAUCUGCAAAUGAAAUACCAAUGAAUGUACCAAAAAAUAGUAAAUUAGACAGAAAAUAUUUAUUUAAUUACUUACCCGUUAACUACACAAAAAGAUGCAUCACAAAAUGGAUAUUUAUAAAAUAUGGAUGAACUUGCAGGUUAUAAUCCUGUUAAUAACAAUCCUAAUUUGAGGAACCUUAUUUAACAUUUUUUUGGAAAGCUUCUGUGUCUUACAUAGUAUUUUAAAGUUUAGUUAUCAGCCUUCAAUUGAUAUUCAAUUUAACUUCUGGGUUCUCUUCUGAGGGGUGUUAUAUCCUGGUUCCCUAUUUCUAGACAAAAACUACUUAUCAAUUAUAAGUCUCCUAGGUCUAUUAGCAAUCUCUGGCCUUUCAAAUGCAAUACUCAGAAAUAAAUAUUGUUAAAGCACAGCAUUGUGACUCAAGAGACCAGCGUUUCAUUCCUGUUUUUUUUUAGUCUGUUUUGAAGGCAUCCAUGGACAAACUAUUUCACCUGUCUUUGGCAACCUGCCUCCAUCAUUAAAAACAAGCUGGUGUCCUUUAUUAAGCACUCUGGGUCUUGUUCAACUCUUCUACCCACUGAAGCUUGUCUAAGACACUGCAACUAGUUUUCCCUGAUGACCAGGUGGGCAGCUGGAACACCCUUCAAUGCCAAAAAAUACUUUUUUCAUAACAAAAUAAGAAGGGUGAUUUCAAUCUGAGGCCUAAUUAUUCUGGCAAUACCCCUAUCUCAUGCUCUCCUCCCAGACUACCCAGGGUAUUACAGAACUUGAAUGUGGAUGGUUUUACGUUCUAGUGUGAACACAGCCCAUGUUCAUCCAGGCAUGACAGUAAAUCUGAUGGCUGACUGAGAGAUAACACAGGAUUAUCCUUUGAGGUCUACAGAGGAAAAAAUUAUAGAAGAUUUGGUACUAUCUAUGGGGUUAUCCAUCUAAGUACUGGAACAAAGGGUAUGCUUCUGACUUGCAGAGGGAACAGAAUGUAGCUUGGCUGAAAUCAGGUUUUUCUCCCUUACUCACAAGUAAAAAGAAAGGACAUAAAUGGCAGCUUUUGUUUAUUAAUUAUCUGGUAUCCCAGAGUACUUGUAGCAGGACUCUGAGGCUUCCUUAAAACUCUGUGGCUCAUUGUGUAUAUCCAGAAACCUAAAUAUUCAGGAACCAUCUGAAGCAAUUUCAGCUACAAAGGCUUUCAAUACUCAAAAAACCUUUUUUUGGAUUUCAGUCAUUAAACCUAUUCAUUACCUUCAAAUUCAGCUGAGGCCGGGAUAACAGUCUGGAGCUCAAGCCAGAAAAAUGAAAAAAAAACCCCAAAAAACCAAAAAGCCCUUUAUCAGAGACAAAGUGAUGCAUCAGAAAGAAUUCAGCCUGUGGGUAUGCUCUAUCAUUUGAAGGUACUUCCCUACCUGUCCUGAAAUGAAAAUUUACAGCUGCAGGCUUCUGUUGAACCUUUGUCUGCUCAAUAAAUGUGAAAUAACCACAAUGUUUUGACAGAGUAACUGCCUAUUUUCCAUUUGAGUGUGGAUCUUACCACAGCUGCCCAUGCUCUUGCCACCUUUCCUGCUUUUGUGUUCUACACUCAUUUCCUCAAGGGGAUGGCACAAUACAUUGCAGCUGUCAGACAAUGUAUUCUCCUGGUGACUGCAGUGCUUUGCACAGAACACAAAUUGCACCUGUAUUGCAAAAUCUGC
This is a long non-coding RNA of Passer domesticus (house sparrow), 3505 nucleotides long. RefSeq lists it as uncharacterized. The record is from RefSeq and is a predicted model, not a curated record. The transcript has 4 exons. NCBI's taxonomy places the organism in Eukaryota, Metazoa, Chordata, Aves, Passeriformes, Passeridae.